Papaver somniferum (opium poppy) is the source of this 1538-nucleotide RNA transcript. RefSeq lists it as uncharacterized. The record is from RefSeq and is a predicted model, not a curated record. Lineage: Eukaryota; Viridiplantae; Streptophyta; Magnoliopsida; Ranunculales; Papaveraceae. The transcript has 2 exons.
ACCCCGUAAGACUGUUUCCACGAGGUUUUAUUAGGGUUCUAUGAACAAAAAAUCAAUCCCCAAAUUCCAAUAAUUCUCUAUUUCCGUAAACAUGAAUUCUUCUUCUGAUUCUGAAACACCAGAGAAAAUUACUGAAGAAAUCCCAAAUCAAACAAAUCCAAUUCCUGCAGAAACCCUAGAAAAUCAAAAUUCAGAUGUUGUCUUAUUAGAUCAGAAGACAAGUGAUUCUUCAAACAAGGGAGAAGAAAAAGAGGAUGAAGAAGAAGAAGCAGAAUGUGGGUUUUGUUUAUAUAUGAAAGGAGGUGGAUGCAAAGAUAGUUUUAUUGCUUGGGAGAAAUGUAUGGAGGAAGCUGAAGAGAAGAAAGAAGAUGUUGUUGAGAAAUGUUAUCAAGUUACUUUGUCAUUAAAGAAUUGUAUGGAAGCUCAUCCUGAUUAUUAUGCCCCAAUUCUCAAGGCAGAGAAAGCUGCUGAACAACAAGUUACCAAGGGAAUGGAGGAAUUGAACAAGGAGAAAGAAUCCAAGGAAAGAGGAGGAGGAGAUACAGAGGUUAAGGAGAUUGAGAUAGAAAUUGAGAUUGAGAAUGAGAAUGGAAUUGAAUUGCAGAAUAAGAUUGAAAAAAUAGAAGGAGAAGCGGUGAAGAUGGAGAAAUCAACGGAUUUGGAGAGUGUAGUCGCUGUUAAAGAAGGCGGCCAAGAGGUGAAGGAAGUAGAAUUGAAUAACAAAAUUGCAGAAGAAGAAGUGGUUGAGAAGAAGAUAGAGAAGCAAACAGAUUCGGAGAGUGUAGUAGCUGGAAAAGACGAAAAAGAAGACGAAGAGGUGAAGGAAGUAGAAUUGAAUAACAAAGUUGCAGAAGAAGAAACAAAGAAUCCAGUAAUGUCAUUUUUUGACAAAGUAUUUUCUUUUAAAUUUUGAAGGAGGAGAAAAGAAGGAAAUUAGAUUUGAGGGAAUUCCCAUUGUGUAUCUAUUGAUGAUGGGAUUGCUCAGUCAUAUGCAUAAUUUGGGUGGGGGCACUAAGAGAGUGUAUCUGGCAUACGGUCCAGCUCAUAUUUAUUUGCUCAAAGACAAGCCUUGUGCAGAAAGGUUAAAGAAGGAGAUAGAUAGAGCAGUAGAACCCAAUAGUAAAGUUGCAGAAGAGGAAAAACAGAAUCCAGUGUUCUCUUUUUUCAACAAUAUCGUUUCUUUUGGUUUUUUAAGCUUUUAUUUUAUAGGUAUCAGCAGCAAAAUAAAGGAAUUGCUUUUGGUGAUACUGGGGUUAUUCAAUCAUGCAAGUAACUUCUAACAGUUCCAAAUCUCUUAAAAUUGAUUCUAUUUCUUUUGGUAUAUGAAACAAAAUUGUGUGCAAUUUCAGACUUCAAUGUUUUGUUCCAUAUUUAUAAAGAUAUAUUUUCUAUGGGUUUUCCUAAGGUGUUACUUUGCUGGCUUUAUGAUCUAGAGUAAUUGAUAGUUUGAUUUGAAAGGGUUUAUUGUUCGUGGGCUAUUCUUUAUUAUAAGCAUCCUUUCUAAGCAAUGAUCAUAUAUUCAUGAGUGCCGUGGUUUG